CGAGGUUGCCCUUUGUAUAUUCGGUUUAUUAACAUAGAAUAUACAAGGGCAAGCUCUCU
RNAcentral lists this microRNA precursor (59 nucleotides) under Pteropus alecto (black flying fox). Its description in RNAcentral is "microRNA pal-mir-381 precursor". Its record names the gene pal-mir-381. Lineage: Eukaryota; Metazoa; Chordata; Mammalia; Chiroptera; Pteropodidae. The record is from miRBase by way of RNAcentral.